UACGUAGGGUGCAAGCGUUAAUCGGAAUUACUGGGCGUAAAGCGAGCGCAGGCGGUUGUGUAAGACAGAUGUGAAAUCCCCGGGCUCAACCUGGGAACUGCAUUUGUGACUGCACGGCUAGAGUGCGUCAGAGGGGGGUGGAACUCCACGUGUAGCAGUGAAAUGCGUAGAGAUGUGGAAGAACACCGAUGGCGAAGGCAGCCCCCUGGGAUGACACUGACGCUCAUGCUCGAAAGCGUGGGGAGCAAAC
RNAcentral lists this ribosomal RNA (250 nucleotides) under uncultured bacterium. Its description in RNAcentral is "partial 16S ribosomal RNA". It matches the Rfam family "Bacterial small subunit ribosomal RNA", at positions 524 to 773 of the family's 1533-position model. The record is from RNAcentral.